This 466-nucleotide ribosomal RNA is filed under the name uncultured bacterium. Its description in RNAcentral is "partial 16S ribosomal RNA". It matches the Rfam family "Bacterial small subunit ribosomal RNA", at positions 339 to 795 of the family's 1533-position model. The record is from RNAcentral.
CUACGGGGUGCUGCAGUGGGGAAUAUUGCGCAAUGGGCGAAAGCCUGACGCAGCGACGCCGCGUGAGGGAAGAAGGUCUUCGGAUCGUAAACCUCUGUCGGGAGGGAAGAAUGGCUUAGAGUCGAAUAGGCUCUGAGAUUGACGGUACCUCCAAAGGAAGCACCGGCUAACUCCGUGCCAGCAGCCGCGGUAAUGCGGAGGGUGCAAGCGUUAUUCGGAAUUACUGGGCGUAAAGGGCGUGUAGGCGGCUUUGCAAGUCAGGUGUGAAAGCCCACGGCUUAACCGUGGAACUGCACUUGAAACUGCAUGGCUCAGAGUGUGGGAGAGGAUAGCGGAAUUCCCGGUGUAGGAGUGAAAUCCGUAGAUAUCGGGAGGAACACCAGUGGCGAAGGCGGCUAUCUGGACCAUAACUGACGCUGAGACGCGAAAGCGUGGGGAGCAAACAGGAUUAGAUACCCCAGUAGUC